This is a long non-coding RNA of Vanessa tameamea, 3240 nucleotides long. RefSeq lists it as uncharacterized. The transcript has 2 exons. The record is from RefSeq and is a predicted model, not a curated record. NCBI's taxonomy places the organism in Eukaryota, Metazoa, Arthropoda, Insecta, Lepidoptera, Nymphalidae.
UUUACUUCUAUCGUUGCAAAGCAUAAUGUCAGCUAUAUCGUCGUAUUUAAAAUGAAAAAUGUUUACACAGUCUCGGAACCUAUAUCGAUUUCGAAUUCCGAUAGUCGGUAACGAUAACAUUACGUUCUUGAACAUUCCCUACAUCGUUCCAAUUUCGAAAGUUUGAAUAGCGUUCGAGAUCUUAAGCUUUGUCUACAAAUGAGUGAGCGAGAGUCCACCGAGGAUAAUAUUGGAACAUUGUAAGCAAUGAAACGGAUAAUUCUGUACGUUUUCGAAGUUUCGUAUAAACGGAAUACGAAAUCGACAUCACAAAGAAAAUGUACAUUCGAGAUGCUCUUGUAAUAUUUUCUAGCGUUCGUAUAUUUAUGAAUUAUUGCCUCAAUGUCUAGUAUCUGCUAGCUUGUAAAUAUCGUGAGUGUAUGACGUUUUACGAGUAUAUGGAAUUCUCGUCUGUUGUGAUUCUCGAAUAAAAGGAUUAAUAAUUCAUUUUCAACUUAAUGGGAAUAAUUUUAUUCUUUGAAAUUGAAAUUUAUUAAAUUACUCGUAAUUUAAAAAAAAAAACUGUCUCAGGACUAUAGUGGCGUGCCAUAUUCGCUUCGAGAUGACAAAUGAUCUUAUAUAGGUAGAAAAUUUUAAAUUUCUCGGCAUUUAAAUGUAUUAUAAUUGCACUUAUUGUAUAAAAUAGCGUGGAAAUAAAUAGAUAAUGCACAUAUUAAUUAUGAACUUUCUCGUGCCUAUACUUUUAUAUCUAUGUAUUUUUGAUAGUAAAUUUAAGAAUUCAACUUCGUGUUAUCGCCACAUCACGUGUAAAUAUAUCGAGCGUCUCUUAAAAUUUUUAUUACGUCUAUUAAAUAAGGAAAUACCUACAUUUAUAAAUCAAUUUAUCUGUACUUAUGAAACUUAAUAAAAAAAUACCGAAUAAAUAUAUAUUUCUUUAAAAAAAUAUUCUGUAUUUAACAAAGGUUUUGAAUAAAUUUAAAAGGUUUAACGUCUGUAGAUAUGUUGCACCCCUCAUUGCGGAAAUCGGUAAUACUCAUUAUAUUAUUAACGACUAGUCUAACAGUACAGUAAAAUACGAACGAAAUGUAUAUCAAACAACAUUUUAAUAUUAAUAUGUUUGACACCUUUUGAUGGUGCUAUAGAUACCAUAGCUAUAUCAAAUAUGGUGGUUAUGUGCAAUAAUAAUACUAAAUUCCUUAAAUAUUGGAACAAAUUAUUAUUACGACAUUGAAAUGUAUAUUAUUCUUCUUUGAUGGCUAAGUAUCAGAAGUACAGAUAAAGAAAAUUAAACUUUAAAAGCAAUAUCGAAUCGAGCACGCUUGCGCUCCAGGCUUAGGCCGAGGUAUGUGAAGUUCGCACAUUACGAAAACAGCACAAAGUGACGUUUUAUACAAACUUUAAUUAAUUUCUUUUGAAUUAUGUUCCAAUUCGUAUUUAUUAGAUUCUGUGUCGUGUAAAGCUCAAAUGUGUUAGUUGUGAUUUUUUUAAUGCAAUUUCGAUGUCGUGACUACAUUUUUAUAAACGCUUUUGCGCCUUUUUAAUCAAUUCUAUACGCGUAUUGUACGCACCAAUUUAUCGUAAGUAAGACAUUCCAUAUAUGUAUAUUCCACCUUGUUUCAUGUUUGUCUAGAUUAUAAUGACAAUUGUUUUAACCGCAGACCAGGAAUAUUACUUUCGCACAACUGUCAUAUGUCAAAAAUGACAAAAAUGUCAUAUAGGUAUAUAUAUGACAUUUUUGUAUACAACAAAUAAAAACUCAUCUUAAAAUCUUUCGAAUAUCUGUUUUCAUAAACGGCUGUUACAUUAUUUAAAUAAUUCGAACAGUUGUAAUACAGAUGAAAUUAAUUUCAGAUGUAUAUUACAAUUAAUAUUGAAAAGUAUACAAUUAUAUUAUAAUCGAGACAAAUAUUAAAUAAUUAUAUCAUCAUGUUUUAUAAUUUGAAUUAAAUAUAGUUUUUUAGUUAUUAAUCAUAAUAAUUAAACACGAAAUGAAUAAAAAUGUUUUUUGUUUUUUGCAUUAAUAAUGUCUAACGAAUGAUUCAUUAAAGUUUCUUAAUAAAAUUAUAAAUAUUUUUCGUGAAAAAUUUAAUGUGCAAUUCAUUAAUAUUUGUAACAAAUGGUUUUAUAAGAACAAAGUCGAAAAUCGAAGUCAAAUUCAUUACUUGUAAUGUAAAACAAUAAGUAUACAACCUCCUUUUUAACCAUGAAUAAAUAUUGUAUUCACAAUGCUUUAUCUCCUUCGAAUGUCAAAUUCCCUGUGACAGAAAGAGAAAAAUCAAUGUAAACUAUUCAACAGCAUCACAAAAUUUAUUAGUGAAACGCUAUAAAUACUUGUAAUGUACGAAUAUGUAACAUCAUCGUACAGUUAAUUUUUCUUUACAUUUUUCGAAAGAAUACGACAUCGAAUUUCGAAUUUGAACCUUAUUAACAGCCUCCGACUAAGAGCGCGGUGAUAAUAAAUCGUUGGUCUAGAUUUAAUAGAUUUAUCUACUUUUACAUAACACAGUAUAAAAUGCAUGUUAAAAUUAUAUUUAUAUCUUAAAAUGAAUAAACUUUUGUCCAUUUAAAAUAAAUAGUUAGAUAUUUUAAACAUUGUACCUACUUAAACUAUUAACUACGUAUUUCAUCUGUAAUAUCUAGAUCAAUAAUUUAUAAUAAUCAUUUAAUUUUAAAUAAAGUAAUUCUUUUAAUAAAAAUUGUAAUAGAAAAAUUAUUUCUUGUUAAAUAAUAAGAAUUUGUAAUGCUAUUUUAUUAUAAAUCUGAGAAAAAGUGCUUGCGAUCAAAGCCUUCAAUAAAAUAACAACCAAUAUAGGAAAAAUAACUGUGAAUCUAUAUUUAAUCAUUUAGACAAAAAAGGUUUUUUUUUUGUUUUGGCUUUUAUUUGUGCCAAGAGGGCACAGAUUAUUUCACCAAUGACACGUGCGGAUUAUGAUUAACGAAUCAAUGACAGAUUUGAGGUUUUGUACGUCAGAAUGUCAUUUCAAAAUGGUGACGUGCGUGUGUUUCUUUUAUUAUUAUUCUAAUUUCAAAAAGGAAUACACGACUUCUUCUAUUUAUAUACUACUGUUAAAUGUAUAACUAAGUCUUGCAAUAUUUAAUAAAACAAUGCAUCAGUUCGUUGAAAUAACUUUUUAAUGAUCAAGCACUUUUUCACAGAUCAUGUCCACACCAUUUCACGUUAGGCAAAUAUUUUUUUCACUGAAUUUAUUACACUUAUUACAAUAAAUUAAUAAUUAUAAA